RNAcentral lists this transfer RNA (71 nucleotides) under Elusimicrobiaceae bacterium. RNAcentral's name for it is "tRNA-Gly". It matches the Rfam family "tRNA". Rfam says of the family: Transfer RNA (tRNA) molecules are approximately 80 nucleotides in length. Lineage: Bacteria; Pseudomonadati; Elusimicrobiota; Elusimicrobia; Elusimicrobiales; Elusimicrobiaceae. The record is from RNAcentral.
GCGGGCGUGGUUCAAUGGUAGAACACUAGCCUUCCAAGCUUGUGACGAGGGUUCGAUUCCCUUCGCCCGCU